AGUGAACGAGGGUGGGAGGAGGAAGAGAGGCAAGUCGAAGGGCAGCACAGUAAGAGUUUGCUCUUACGGGUGGCGGGUGGCGGGAGGGUGAGGAAAAUAUCGGAACCUUGUCUUUCGUGGGGGAUAACGUAGGGAGAGUUAAGAUAAUAUAGAAUACGAUCGACGGGUGAAAGAAGGGGAUAUUAGGAACUUGUGGGAAUGAAUGAGCCGAUGUCGGAUUAGCUAGUUGGGGGGGUAAUGGCCAACCAAGGCGACGAUCCGUAGCUGGUCUGAGAGGCUGCUCAGCCACACUGGAACUGAGACACGGUCCAGACUCCUACGGGAGGCAGCAGUGGGGAAUAUUAGACAAUGGGCGCAAGCCUGAUCCAGCCAUACCGCGUGGGUGAAGAAGGCCUUCGGGUUGUAAUGCCCUUUUGUUGGGAAAGAAAAGCUGCAGGUUAAUACCCCGCUGUUCUGACGGUACCCAAUGAAUAAGCACCGGCUCCCUUCGUG
RNAcentral lists this ribosomal RNA (492 nucleotides) under uncultured bacterium. RNAcentral's name for it is "partial 16S ribosomal RNA". It matches the Rfam family "Bacterial small subunit ribosomal RNA", at positions 30 to 507 of the family's 1533-position model. The record is from RNAcentral.